GGGUGUGCCAAAAUAUUCUGGAAUCAGCAUGACUCAACAUCCACAGUAUGUUACGGUAAGAAAUGAACGUGGAAGAGAGAUGCUCAGUCUGGUUGAUAAUCUUUUGGAGGUUACUUCAACAACUAGCAGUGAAAGGGUCCUGAACCUGCCCCAAAGUUUGUUGGGAAUGUGAUUGCUUUCUUGCUAAACUUGAUUGGCCCAAAGGGUUUGCUUGUUAUUCACUCGAUUACCUUACCAUCAGGAACUACCCGUAUGUAAACCGAAUAUGGGGAAAACAAAGGCGCAACUUUCAAUGUGUUACCUGAUAGUGGAGCUGAACCAUGCAGAGCCGAUCAGCAUAUGCCUUCAUAUGCAAAGAAGAUUGUGGAUACCUACAAUAAGAAUGGUGAAAUCAAUCGGAUUCUUUCCAACAAGUGACUGCAUUAGCUGGUGAAAUGCAGAUCAUAAAGAGGGCACUUCAAUGUAAACCGAAGUUGUCCUUAAUCUUUUCUGUAAAUAUAUAUAGAACCAAUUACGUAUCGAUCAAUUCCUAGGUCUUCUCAGGUUGACAUAUAUGUUUGCUAUGAUCAUAGGUAAUUGAUUCCAAGCCAA
This is a non-coding RNA of Prunus mume (Japanese apricot), 591 nucleotides long. Lineage: Eukaryota; Viridiplantae; Streptophyta; Magnoliopsida; Rosales; Rosaceae. The record is from RefSeq and is a predicted model, not a curated record.